UGGGGAAUUUUGGACAAUGGGCGCAAGCCUGAUCCAGCCAUGCCGCGUGAGUGAAGAAGGCCUUCGGGUUGUAAAGCUCUUUCGGCGGGGACGAAAAGGUCCGUGCUAACACCACGGACUCAUGACGGUACCCGCAGAAGAAGCACCGGCUAACUACGUGCCAGCAGCCGCGGUAAUACGUAGGGUGCAGGCGUUAAUCGGAAUUACUGGGCGUAAAGCGUGCGCAGGCGGUUUGCUAAGACAGGUGUGAAAUCCCCGGGCUUAACCUGGGAACUGCGCUUGUAACUGGCAAGCUAGAGUGUGGCAGAGGGGGGUGGAAUUCCACGUGUAGCAGUGAAAUGCGUAGAGAUGUGGAGGAACACCGAUGGCGAAGGCAGCCCCCUGGGCUAACACUGACGCUCAUGCACGAAAGCGUGGGGAGCAAACAGGAUUAGAUACCCUGGUAGUCCACGCCCUAAACUAUGUCAACUGGUUGUCGGGGAAGCAAUUCCUUGGUAACGAAGCUAACGCGUGAAGUUGACCGCCUGGGGAGUACGGCCGCAAGGUUAA
This 549-nucleotide ribosomal RNA is filed under the name uncultured beta proteobacterium. Its description in RNAcentral is "bacterial SSU rRNA". It matches the Rfam family "Bacterial small subunit ribosomal RNA", at positions 355 to 897 of the family's 1533-position model. Lineage: Bacteria; Pseudomonadati; Pseudomonadota; Betaproteobacteria. The record is from RNAcentral.